This 53-nucleotide transfer RNA is filed under the name Riccardia chamedryfolia. Its description in RNAcentral is "partial tRNA-His". The record is from RNAcentral. Lineage: Eukaryota; Viridiplantae; Streptophyta; Jungermanniopsida; Metzgeriales; Aneuraceae.
GAAAAAAUUAAAACGCUAAAUAGGGCGGAUGUAGCCAAGUGGAUUAAGGCAGU